Molecule: ribosomal RNA, 413 nt
Filed under: Drosophila kohkoa
Lineage: Eukaryota; Metazoa; Arthropoda; Insecta; Diptera; Drosophilidae
Description: partial 12S ribosomal RNA
Source: RNAcentral
AAGUAGUAGUACUUAUGUUCUUGAAACUUAAAAAAUUUGGCGGUAUUUUAGUCUAUCCAGAGGAACCUGUUUUGUAAUCGAUAAUCCACGAUGGACCUUACUUAAGUUUGUAAUCAGUUUAUAUACCCGUCGUUAUCAGAAUAUUUUAUAAGAAUAAAAAUAUUCAAUAAUUUAUAUUAAAAUUUAUAUCAGAUCAAGGUGUAGCUUAUACUUAAGUAAUAAUGGGUUACAAUAAAAAUAUUUAAACGAAUAAAAUAAUGAAAAAAUUUUUGAAGGUGGAUUUGGUAGUAAAAUUAUAAAGAUUAAUAAUUUGAUUUUAGCUCUAAAAUAUGUACACAUCGCCCGUCGCUCUUAUUAUUAAGGUAAGAUAAGUCGUAACAUAGUAGAUGUACUGGAAAGUGUAUCUAGAAUGA